RNAcentral lists this ribosomal RNA (636 nucleotides) under uncultured bacterium. RNAcentral describes it as "bacterial SSU rRNA". It matches the Rfam family "Bacterial small subunit ribosomal RNA", at positions 607 to 1244 of the family's 1533-position model. The record is from RNAcentral.
GCUCAACCGAGGAAGUGCUUCGAAAACUGGUAAACUUGAGUGCAGAAGAGGAAAGUGAACUCCAUGUGUAGCGGUGGAAUGCGUAGAUAUAUGGAAGAACACCAGUGGCGAAGGCGGCUUUCUGGUCUGUAACUGACGCUGAGAUUCGAAAGCAUGGGUAGCAAACAGGAUUAGAUACCCUGGUAGUCCAUGCCGUAAACGAUGAGUGCUAAGUGUUGGAGGGUUUCCGCCCUUCAGUGCUGCAGCUAACGCAUUAAGCACUCCGCCUGGGGAGUACGAUCGCAAGAUUGAAACUCAAAGGAAUUGACGGGGGCCCGCACAAGCGGUGGAGCAUGUGGUUUAAUUCGAAGCAACGCGAAGAACCUUACCAGGUCUUGACAUACCAUGAAAAGCUCAGAGAUGAGUCUUUCCCUUCGGGGACAUGGAUACAGGUGGUGCAUGGUUGUCGUCAGCUCGUGUCGUGAGAUGUUGGGUUAAGUCCCGCAACGAGCGCAACCCUUAUUAUCAGUUGCCAGCAUUUAGUUGGGCACUCUGGUGAGACUGCCGGUGAUAAACCGGAGGAAGGUGGGGACGACGUCAAAUCAUCAUGCCCCUUAUGACCUGGGCUACACACGUGCUACAAUGGUCGGUACAACG